This 656-nucleotide ribosomal RNA is filed under the name Escherichia coli. Its description in RNAcentral is "partial 23S ribosomal RNA". It matches the Rfam family "Bacterial large subunit ribosomal RNA", at positions 2177 to 2828 of the family's 2925-position model. The record is from RNAcentral. Lineage: Bacteria; Pseudomonadati; Pseudomonadota; Gammaproteobacteria; Enterobacterales; Enterobacteriaceae.
UGCAUGGAGCCGACCUUGAAAUACCACCCUUUAAUGUUUGAUGUUCUAACGUUGACCCGUGAUCCGGGUUGCGGACAGUGUCUGGUGGGUAGUUUGACUGGGGCGGUCUCCUCCUAAAGAGUAACGGAGGAGCACGAAGGUUGGCUAAUCCUGGUCGGACAUCAGGAGGUUAGUGCAAUGGCAUAAGCCAGCUUGACUGCGAGCGUGACGGCGCGAGCAGGUGCGAAAGCAGGUCAUAGUGAUCCGGUGGUUCUGAAUGGAAGGGCCAUCGCUCAACGGAUAAAAGGUACUCCGGGGAUAACAGGCUGAUACCGCCCAAGAGUUCAUAUCGACGGCGGUGUUUGGCACCUCGAUGUCGGCUCAUCACAUCCUGGGGCUGAAGUAGGUCCCAAGGGUAUGGCUGUUCGCCAUUUAAAGUGGUACGCGAGCUGGGUUUAGAACGUCGUGAGACAGUUCGGUCCCUAUCUGCCGUGGGCGCUGGAGAAUUGAGGGGGGCUGCUCCUAGUACGAGAGGACCGGAGUGGACGCAUCACUGGUGUUCGGAUUGUCAUGCCAAUGGCACUGCCCGGUAGCUAAAUGCGGAAGAGAUAAGUGCUGAAAGCAUCUAAGCACGAAACUUGCCCCGAGAUGAGUUCUCCCUGACUCCUUGAGAGUCC